UGCGUCAUCGUCCUGCGCCACCUCUCCGGGCACUUUAGGGGCGGGAGGCGCGGCAGCGAGUAAUCCUGCGACUUGGCCGCCGCGCGCACUAAGGCACUGAUGUUUGAACAGGAAGCUUCAAAACUUUUGAAAGGACCUUCAGAAUGGCUUUGAAACAGAUAAACUAGAAGUUGCUUCAGAACACCACCUUCAGCAUGUAUCUCUGCUGUUGGGCUUUCCAGGUGAGGAGCUUUUUGAAGAGGUUAUUCUGCAGAGAGCCAGAGAGCUGAAACUCAUGGAACCAGAUUAGUGGACUUGACUUUCUGGCAGAAAUCUGUCGCUUUAUUACAUUCUGCCUAAGAGGUGUGGAGGUAUUCAUGGGACCAAACGGCCUGCAAGGAAGGGAAGUAGCCCUUUCGUGCUGAAUGAAAACUGCGCAAGUGACAUUUCGACUGAAAACACUUAAACCUCCCACGUCCAGAUUCAUUCAACUGGGGACGCACAGGAACCAUUUCUCCUGGGGAGAAAGAAGUGAUACUAGAAACGAAAACCCAAAUAAAGAGAAUGAGGGCAACUGCAAAGUAAAUGGCCGCUUCCACCUCCAAAGAGACAAAGUCAGCCUCCUGGUGGAAUUAUUUCUUCCUUUAUGAUGGUUCAAAGGUAAAGGAAGAAGGAGACCCAACAAGAGCUGGCAUUUGUUAUUUUUAUCCUUCGCAGACCCUGCUUGACCAACAGGAAUUGCUCUGUGGGCAAAUUGCCGGAGUCGUCCGCUGUAUUUCUGACAUUUCUGCCUCUGCUCCCACUCUAAUUCGUCUGUGGAAACUGAAGUUUGCUGUAAAAGUUGAUGGAGAUUACCUUUGGGUGCUGGGAUGUGCUGUGGAGCUCCCUGAUGUCAGCUGCAGGCAGUUUCUGGACCAACUGAUUGGAUUCUUUAACUUUUAUAAUGGACCUGUUUCUCUGGCAUACAAGAGCUUUUCUCAGGAAGCACUGAGCACCAAGUGGGACAGCUUCAUUGAACAAAUUCUGAAAAACACCAGCGAUCUGCAUAAGAUAUUCAAUUCCCUCUGGAACUUGGACCGAACUAAAGUGGAGCCCCUGCUGUUGCUGAAGGCAGCCCUCAUUCUGCAGACCUGCCAGCGCUCGCCUCACGUUCUUGCUGGCUGCAUCCUCUAUAAAGGACUGAUUGUCAGCACCCAGCUCCCACCCUCCCUCACAGCCAAGGUCCUGCUGCAUCGAGCUGCACCUCGGGACCAGAGAGGACCUACGGGAGGGGAUGCCCUGCAGGAGCAUGGAGUGGUGCUCCCCCCAAAUGUCGAGAUCAUGCCUGUUUUCCUGACUGAAGAGGAAGCUGUCAGUCUCUGCGAGUUCCCUGGGGAGUGGAUGACCAGCUCUCCUGCCUCUCCAGCCCGACUCCAGGAAUGCUCAGCCCAGCACCCUCCAAAGGGUUGGAGCACCUCUGCCCCGAGAGAAGACACCUCUAGGCAUCUGGAAUCCAUGGCCUGGACGUUGGCAACCACCCCUGAGCCCAUGUCCCCUGAUGUCACUUGGCCAAAUGGCGAGAAGGAGGACAGACGCCUGUCUGGCCAUGAUCUGGAGCGUAUCAAGCCCACAGAACCGUACAGCACUGUCAGGGAUGAGGGUCCUGGUUCUGACUGGUUCCUGGUGAAGGGACCUGGUUUGUUUGGGAGGAUAGCAGAACCGGACUUGUCUGAAAUCCACAUUCCAGAAACGAAGAAAAGGGGAACAUCCUCAAGUUAUUUUUCCUUACCAAGUGUGUGUACCCUGGAUGGUGGUGGUCCUUAUGGCAAGGAAUCUGUCGGCGACUCUGGCAUCCCAGAACCUGAGCUGCCCUCGGCCCUGCCUGUGGGCAGCCUUUCUCCCUCUCUUCCUGAGAUGCUUGCCCAGAAUGGAGCCCUAGACCAGCGCAGAGACCUUCCUGGGGACAGCAGCCAAGCCCCCAUUCCCAGGGAAGACCGCCUCUUCAGCAGGUUGAGCCGGCCAUUGUCUUUGCCUCACUUGGAUUUGAGGUGGAGAGAAGCUACGCUCCCCGUGGGGCAACAAGUCCUGGAGCAGCGUAUUGCAGGGCAUGAGAGCUACUCAGCCCCCAGCCAGGAAUAUGGCUGGAACUUGGCACAGACUCAGGGCGAUGGUCCCUCUGCAGACAGAACUGACUCCAGGUCAGCAUCCCACGUAGGACUCUCACGGAUGAACCUCUACACUCACAGCGUUAAUGGGCUGGUGCUGUCCCUGCUGGCCAAGGAGACGCUGCUGGGGGACGAGGCUGCCAUCGAGGAGGUGACCCCUUCCCCGAGUGCUGGCCGGUUUGCCUCCCGCAUCCUCCUUGACCACAGCUCUCAGGGACCUAACCUCCUUCUCCUAACAACACGGGGACCCCGGGUUGCUGCUUCAUACAGCUCGUCUCCCUGUGAUGCCUUCAUUCUCAUGGUCUGUGCUGCUCAGAGCUGAGUGGUAGACAUGUUGUUUUGAAGGCCCAGUGUUCCCUCUUCCACCUUCUCCCCAAAAAGAUAAAGAAAAAGCUCAGGCUGCUCUUGAAGAAGGAAGUGAAUGUAUGCCACAUUCACUGUAUGCUAAAUGCAUCUGUUAUUUUAGCCAAGCCCUAGAACAGUUCUGGGAAGAGACAUCCUAACUCCCAUUUACCAGUAAGGAAACAUCUUUGUUGAGUUGAAGACCUAGUCAACUGGUGGGUCCAGAAUCCUCUCUCGUUUCCCUUCUCCCUGCUGUAGCCUCUCUGUCCUGCACCGAUCUGAGCUCGGAAUGAUAGGUGGGAGGGUGCAGGCAAGGGGGAAAUGCCCUGCCGUCUGCGGUGCUUGACAGGUGAACAUACCACUUGUUUUGUCACAGCCCGUCCAUGACGUAGGACAGCAGUCUCGGGGGCUUUUAUGUAAAGUCGGAUUUGGUGGUGGGUAGGCUCCAGGGAAGGGAAUACAGUUUAAUAGAAGAGCUCACUUUUUCGAAAACGAGUAGGAAUGACAGACUUCGAUCAGCUUGCUGGUUGGAGAGCAGGGCUUGUUGAUCAGACCCAGAGUCUGUCUCUAUUAUAAUGGGGGGGAGCUUUUCCUGCCUUUUUGUCCUGGGCCUGCAUACAGAAUACUUGACCUCAUUUCCCUCCAGACCCUCUGCGGCUGUCUGGAAAAGCAAGCCCCUGCAGAGGGGUAAACUGCUACUCAGAUGCGGCAGUGAGCACACCUCGCCUUGAAAGGGCUCCUUGACUGUUGUGCACACACCACGCACCCUCCGGUCGUUUUGACAUCUUGUCUUUCAGGGGAUCAACUGCCACCUCUUUAUGUUUGCAGUAGGUUGGGGGCAGGUAACUGGGUGGAAGGAGAUGUGGGGGAGCUGAGCAAGGAGAGGUUGGGAUUGUUCAGGGGAACAGAGUGAACUCACACCAGGGGGCAGCAUAGAGCUACUGAUCCUGCUCAAAACCCAAGAUCCUCUCAUUGACCUUCAAAUACAGUGAUCAGAUCAUUAAUUUAUUGCUACUAUAGGACUUUGAGCUGGCUGGGUACAGCAGAUGAGGUUUGAGGUUAGUGUGAGAGUGUUAGUGUAAAAUACUUCAUAAAAAUGCAUCCCUCCCCCAUGAAACUAGUGCUUUUGAGUGAAUGUGUAACUGUGUCAUUUCUUCUGCACAUUGACAUUCAAGCCCCUUGCUUUGCUAGGGACUAGAAGCUGGAGGUUCCCAGAUUUAGCUCCACCUGUAUGUCUCCUGGGGCUUUUGUGAGGAUCGCAUGUGUAGUAGGAUAUAUUGGGUUGGCAAACUCUUAAUGUAUAGGAACACAUUGGUAUUUCAGCUUUGCACAACUAUUAAACUCUGCCAUCGCAGUACAAAAACCAUAGAGAAUAUGUAAAUAAAUGGCAUGUCUGUGUCCUACUAAAACUUGUGGACAUGGAAAUUGGAACUUCAUACAGUUUUCACAUGUCACAAUUUUAUUCUUUCUUCCUGACUGUAUAAAAAUAUAAAAAGCAUUCUUAGCUCUCAGGCUAUAUGAAAAUAAACAACUUGCUGGAUUUGGCUCAUGGGCAAAGAUUUGCUGACCCCCAAUAUGUAGGAAAGCACUUGGUUACCAGUUAAAAAAGUUGUCCAUGUGUCAUCUGACAUAACAUCUUGUGAUUGUGCAUUUACUGUUAAUUGAUUUGAUCUUAAAUUAGCAGAAGAUUCCAGAAGCAGAGCUCGGUGCCUAUGGGGAAUACUUGGGUUUUAGCAUCUUUCACUCUCUGUUCCCAUCAUCCCUUCCUCUGGGCGCACUGGCUUGAGAUGGGAGGAUUGACUGUUACCAGGUUCCAGAAACUUCCAAUGAGGCAGUGGUUUGACUUCCUAGUGAAUGGGUUUGUGGGUAUAUGCACACAUCUGACAGAAGGCAGCUCAUUAGCCCCUGACAAGCUGCGUUCCUUAGGCCAUACCAGUGAUCUGAACAGGAGGUAUAAUAUACCUGUCUCCCCUGAGCAGAGGCCCUUCUACUUUACUGUGCACCUCAGUUUAAACCAAGUAGCUCAUAAGUUGAAUGGGCUUGGCAUUGGAUAUGCCCCUUUAUUUUGUAGAUGUUUAUAGAGCACCACCUAGGAGCCAGGCACUCUGCUAGGUGUGGAGUACAUAAAAUAAUAGAUGAGUACAUAAAAUAAAACAGUAUGCAAACCAAUAGGUUUAAACAUCAUUUCUAAGAUGUUCUGAUAGAAAAACUGAUUGAAGCCCGGUCUACUCCCCAAACAACACUCAGCUUCAUGACAUUUACUGCAGAAGCAUUCUCUCUUCAUCUCUGUGCUCUUACAUGUGCUUAUUUUUCUACACAGCUGUUGAAGAAUAAUCCAUGGACAAGUCCUAUGUGCUUAUUAAAGAGAUAGUAUGUCUACCAUAAUAAUUUGCAUUUUCCUGACUCUAUAAAAAUGCCUUCCCUCAGGGUAGCACUUCAGAGUUUACAAAGGACUUUUUUGGAUGUCAUUUCACUUAAUCCAUCUGACAGUCCUGCAGUGGUUUCCAUUUGGGAGAUGAAAAAAAAAAUGAGGUAUAGAAAAAAAUGCAGUAACUUGCCCCUGGUCGUCUGGCCAGGAAGAGGCUGAGCCAGGACGUCCUUCACCUGGGAGUCGCCUGCUGCCCAGGGACAGUGGCCCUCUUCUGGCCAAAGCAGCCUCACGGGAGCCCCAGGAGGCUCAGUUUCAGACGGAGUCCAUCGGGAUGUGACUGAUAUACUUGGUCAAGGCCAAGUCGAGCUCAAAGAAUACCACGCAGCCAUUAAAGAAUGGUGUUUCAGGAGAACAGUUUAAGGAUGAAGAAAGUAGCUCAUGCUGUGUCAUUAGGUUAUAAAACUAGUGUUGGUCAUUGUUCAUGGUUUGAUCCCAUUCUUUCUAAAAGAAGAAUUAUACAUAAUGGUGUGACCCCGUGUUCUCAGCUAUACCUGCGCAUAACUCAUCCCCUGAGAGGUUUUUAAAUCCAGGUGCUUGAGCAGACACACUUCCCAGACAGGCUUCCUCAGUCAGUUCCUCCUCUGAACCACAGAGCCCAGAAAUCCACCUCACCCACACGUCUCAGUCCUUCCCAGGAUGGUGCAUAGCUGGUCCCAUCCUCGAUGCACCCGAGAGGUGAGCUCGUUGCAGACAGCGCAGGACAUCUCAGCCCGGGCCUGUUGGGAAGCGCUGGAGUGUGGGCCCCGCCGGCUAUUCCGUGCACACGAGCGGCCCAGGUGGGAAAGGCGUGGUUAGAAGGAGAUGUGCCAAGGGGCUGACCUUGGCUAUUACUGCAUGGCUAGAUUAUGGCCCAUUUUUCUUUGCUUUCUUCUUUAACUCAUUUUCCUGUUCACCUCUAUUUUCUGAUUUUUCUACAAUAUGAGAAAGCCCUAGAACCUAAGGGUGCGAGUCAGUACUUCUGGUAAAAAUAGCAGUCGGCGUGCUUGUGACUGAAUCAAGUAGCCACUCAGCUCUUCUUGGAUGGUAUUCCCAAGGCUGUGGCUGCCGGGGUUAAUUCUGCAGCUCGCGGCCCUCCCCUGCCCCUUCACAGUACCACAGUAGCCUGGCGUCCCUGAAUGGGCUGGAGGUGCACCUGAAGGAGACACUGCCCAGAGACGAGGCCGCCUUCGCAAGCAGAACGUACAACUUCACGCAUUUUGACCGCAUUCAGAACACGCUGAUGGCGAACCUGCCCCAGGAGGCCACACCCCAGGAUCGCCGCUUCCUCCAGGCCGUCGGCCUGAUGCAUUCAGACUUUGCCCAGCU
RNA transcript from Manis pentadactyla (Chinese pangolin), 6201 nucleotides. It is a transcript of the gene named HPS4 biogenesis of lysosomal organelles complex 3 subunit 2, with no coding region annotated. The transcript has 13 exons. The record is from RefSeq and is a predicted model, not a curated record. NCBI's taxonomy places the organism in Eukaryota, Metazoa, Chordata, Mammalia, Pholidota, Manidae.